AAUCCACAGUGAUAGUGUUAUUGCUCUUGGUGUGUCAGUAGGUGUAUUGUUGAUUCUACUAACUGUCAGUGUUACUAUUAAUAUAUGCUGCUUUAUAAGAAAUAAAGUUCAUUUUGCCACAGGUGCUACUAUUAAAGACCCAAAAGCUGAUAAAGAUAUUGCCUUGCAAGUAUGUCAAACAUAUCAAAUUCACAAAACUGAAGUUGGGGAAGAGAUUGAAGUUGUCUAUGAUGAAUGUCAUGCAUCACCUGAUGCUACUCACACAUAUUAUGAACUCUGAUGAUUGACUGAAUAUUGAAUGGUUCUUUUGAACAAAUAUUAGACUAGGCCUAGCUAGAACUAUAAUUAUUGUA
Long non-coding RNA from Amphimedon queenslandica, 353 nucleotides. RefSeq lists it as uncharacterized. Lineage: Eukaryota; Metazoa; Porifera; Demospongiae; Haplosclerida; Niphatidae. The transcript is spliced from 3 exons. The record is from RefSeq and is a predicted model, not a curated record.